Molecule: ribosomal RNA, 449 nt
Filed under: uncultured bacterium
Lineage: Bacteria
Description: partial 16S ribosomal RNA
Rfam family: Bacterial small subunit ribosomal RNA
Source: RNAcentral
GUCGAGAAUCUUUCACAAUGGGGGCAACCCUGAUGGAGCGACGCCGCGUGGAGGAUAAGGUCUUCGGAUUGUAAACUCCUGUCAUGCGUGAACAAGGUUGCUUGGUUAAUACCUGGGCAAAUUGAUGGUAACGCAAGAGGAAGAGACGGCUAACUCUGUGCCAGCAGCCGCGGUAAUACAGAGGUCUCAAGCGUUGUUCGGAAUCACUGGGCGUAAAGGGUGCGUAGGUGGCGUGGUAAGUCAGAUGUGAAAGCCCGGGGCUCAACCUCGGAACUGCAUCCGAUACUGCCAUGCUAGAGUACUGGAGAGGUGACGAGAAUUCUCGGUGUAGCAGUGAAAUGCGUAGAUAUCGAGAGGAAUACCAAAGGCGUAGGCAGGUCACUGGACAGUUACUGACACUGAGGCACGAAGGCCAGGGGAGCGAACGGGAUUAGAAACCCCUGUAGUCC